AUGCGUGCCUAUCACCUAGGUCCAACCCAUCAGUGCACACCGUGGCCACUGGAGCCCUGCAAAAAGCCCCAGGAAGCGGUUUAUGGCCAAAAUGAUAUACACCACAAAGGGUUAUCUCUGAACUUCAGUGAAUGUCAUACCAAAAUUCGUCAUGUGGAUGCUCAUGCAACCUUGAGUGAUGGUGUAGUGGUACAGGGCAUGGGCUUGCUGUCUAACAGUGGACAGCCUGAGAGGAAGAUUAUGCAAACCUUUGUUCUGGCUCCAGAAGGAUCUGUUCCAAAUAAAAUUUAUGUUCACAAUGAUAUGUUUCGUUAUGAAGAUGAAGUAUUUGGUGAUUCUGAACCAGAACUUGAUGAAGAGUCAGAAGAUGAAGUGGAAGAGGAGCAAGAAGACAGGCAGCCGUCUCCUGAACCUGUGCGAGAGAAUGCUAACAGCGCUUACUAUAAUGCACACCCCGUGACUAAUGGCAUAGAGGAGACGUUAGAAGAAUCCUCUCAUGAACCUGAACCUGAGCCAGAAUCUGAAACAAAGACUGAAGAGCUGAAACCACAAGUGGAGGAGAAACACUUAGAAGAGCUAGAGGAGAAGUCGGCCACUCCUCCUCCUGAUGAGCCUGCUUCUCUGCCUAAAGAACCGCCAAAGCCAAGGGUUGACGCUAAGCCAGAAAUUCAGUCUCAGCCACCACGUGUACGUGAACAGCGACCUCGAGAGCGACCUGGUUUCCCUCCUCGAGGACCAAGGCCAGGCAGAGGAGAUGUGGAGCAGAAUGACUCUGACAACCGGAGAAUAAUUCACUAUCCAGACAGUCAUCAGCUUUUCAUUGGUAACUUGCCUCAUGAUACUGAUGAAAAUGAACUGAAAGAAUUCUUUAUGAGUUUUGGAAACAUUGUGGCACUUCGCAUCAAUACCGAGUGUUGGGGGAAAACUUCCAAUUUUUGGUUUUGUGGGUUUUGAUGACUCUGAACCAGUUCAGAGAAUCUUAAUUGCAAAACCAAUUAUGUUUUGAGGAGAAGUACGUUUAAAUGUGGAAGAGAAAAAAACAAGAGCUGCCAGAGAGCGAGAAACCAGAGGUGGUGGCGAUGACCACAGGGAUAUCAGGCGCAAUGAUCGGGGUGGUCCACGUGGAAUUGUGGGUGGUGGAAUGGUGCGUGAUCACGAUGGAAGAGGGCCACCUCCACGAGGUGGCAUGACACAGAAACUUGGUUCUGGAAGAGGAACCAGGCAAAUGGAAGGUUGCUUCACAGGACAGCGUCGUUGAAGUUCCACUGUUGGCAAAGUUUUGGCAGUGGUACCUAACUCAUCGUGUUUGCAUUCUUGUUAAGUUUUUUUGGCUUUGGAAUGUGACACAGCCUUUUUGAUCAUUUCUUUGAUGUGAAAAGCAUCUUUUGGUUAUCAGUUAAAUUGAGGUGGACAUUAUUUCCCCAAUUUCACAACAGGAUUCAUAUUGUUAAUUUAUAAAGCUAGACUUGGAGAAUUAAGGACUGAG
This is an RNA transcript of Mus pahari (shrew mouse), 1486 nucleotides long. It is a transcript of the gene named ras GTPase-activating protein-binding protein 2 pseudogene, with no coding region annotated. Lineage: Eukaryota; Metazoa; Chordata; Mammalia; Rodentia; Muridae. The transcript has 2 exons. The record is from RefSeq and is a predicted model, not a curated record.